RNAcentral lists this ribosomal RNA (141 nucleotides) under Metazoa environmental sample. Its description in RNAcentral is "partial small subunit ribosomal RNA". It matches the Rfam family "Eukaryotic small subunit ribosomal RNA", at positions 1296 to 1461 of the family's 1831-position model. The record is from RNAcentral. Lineage: Eukaryota; Metazoa.
AGUUGGUGGAGUGAUUUGUCUGGUUAAUUCCGAUAACGAACGAGACUCUAGCCUACUAACUAGUGAGCAGAUCAUCAUGUCUGUCGCACUUCUUAGAGGGACAAGCGGCGUUUAGCCGCACGAAAUUGAGCAAUAACAGGU